This 462-nucleotide ribosomal RNA is filed under the name uncultured bacterium. RNAcentral describes it as "bacterial SSU rRNA". It matches the Rfam family "Bacterial small subunit ribosomal RNA", at positions 341 to 793 of the family's 1533-position model. The record is from RNAcentral.
CGGGGAGGCAGCAGUGGGGAAUAUUGCACAAUGGGGGAAACCCUGAUGCAGCCAUGCCGCGUGUGUGAAGAAGGCCUUCGGGGUUGUAAAGCACUUUCAGUAGGGAGGAAGGUAGUGUAGUUAACACCUGCAUUAUUUGACGUUACCUACAGAAGAAGCACCGGCUAACUCCGUGCCAGCAGCCGCGGUAAUACGGAGGGUGCGAGCGUUAAUCGGAAUUACUGGGCGUAAAGCGCAUGCAGGCGGCCUGUUAAGUCAGAUGUGAAAGCCCGGGGCUUAACCUCGGAAUUGCAUUUGAAACUGGCAGGCUAGAGUCUUGUAGAGGGGGGUAGGAAUUUCAGGUGUAGCGGUGAAAUGCGUAGAGAUCUGAAGGAAUACCAGUGGCGAAGGCGGCCCCCUGGACAAAGACUGACGCUCAGAUGCGAAAGCGUGGGGAGCAAACAGGAUUAGAUACCCUGGUAG